Molecule: non-coding RNA, 781 nt
Filed under: Dendrolimus spectabilis (pine moth)
Lineage: Eukaryota; Metazoa; Arthropoda; Insecta; Lepidoptera; Lasiocampidae
Source: RNAcentral
AAUAAAUUUUUAUGGUUUAGGUAAUUUAUUUUAAAUUUAUUUUACAUAUAAAUUUUAGUGAAUAUUUUAUUUUAAUAAUAAAAUGUUUAUUAUUAGUAGUAAUUAAUAUUAAAAAUUUAAGAAAUUAAGAUUUAGUAAUAUAAAAAUUAAAAACUAAUUUUGUGCCAGCAGUUGCGGUUAAACAAAAUUUAAAAUAAAUUUUUUUAGUUGUUAAUUUAUAAAAAAAAAAAUAAAAUUAAUUAAAAAUUUAAAUUAUUAGGUGAAAUUUUAAUUUAAUAAAAAAUUAAAUUUUUAUUUAUGAUAAUUAAUAAAUUUUAAAAAAAAACUAGGAUUAGAUACCCUAUUAUGAAAAAUUUAAAUUUAAAAUACUAAAAUAGUAAUUAAUUUUUUAUUGAAACUUAAAUAAAUUGGCGGUAUUUUAGUUCAUUUAGAGGAAUCUGUUUAAUAAUUGAUAUUCCACGAAUAAAUUUACUUAAUUUAAUAAUUUGUAUAUCGUUGUUAAAAAAAUAUUUUAAAAUAAUAAUAAUAUUUAAAAAUUUAAAUUUAAAAUUAAAUCAGAUCAAGAUGCAGUUUAUAAUUAAGAAUAUAAUGGAUUACAAUAAAUUUAUUUAAAUGAAUAUGAAUUUGUAAAAAUUUAUUAAAGGUGGAUUUAAAAGUAAUUUUAUUUAAUUUUUUAAAAUGAUUAAAAAUUAAAAUAUGUACAUAUUGCCCGUCACUUUCAUAUAUAAGUUGGAAUAAGUCGUAACAAAGUAGAGGUACUGGAAAGUGUUUCUAGAAUGCU